UACACAUAGCAUCACUUGGUGUACUGAGGC
RNAcentral lists this non-coding RNA (30 nucleotides) under Mus musculus (house mouse). Lineage: Eukaryota; Metazoa; Chordata; Mammalia; Rodentia; Muridae. The record is from RNAcentral.